This 492-nucleotide ribosomal RNA is filed under the name Triticum aestivum (bread wheat). Its description in RNAcentral is "partial small subunit ribosomal RNA". Lineage: Eukaryota; Viridiplantae; Streptophyta; Magnoliopsida; Poales; Poaceae. The record is from RNAcentral.
AUGGCGUCUUCCGUUGGUCCUGCUGCUGUGCGACAGAGGCGGUUUUGUUCGGCAUCAGCUACAAAACAGCUAUGGUGGUCGAGUUCAUGGCCGUCGAGCCACGGCUAUGGUGGUCGCGCUGCGUUCAUGGCCAUCGAGCCACGGCUAUGGUGGUCGCGCUGCGUUCAUGGCUAUCGAGCCACGGCUAUGGUGGUCGCGCUGCGUUCAUGGCCAUGUCUGGUCAGGGUUUGGUCUCCUUGCAUAAUGAUGAAGCAGCUGCUAAUCGGGAACCAGCCAUUGGUGUACCGCAAUAAGGUCACCGCCGCCUGCAUGGGCAGAGUCGCCGCCAAGCUUGAGUCAAUGGAGCCCUGCUCCAGCCUCAAGGAUAGGAGAAGGGGUUCAUCGAGCCAGGCAAGGUGCACGGUGGUAGGCAGGCUUGGUCUCCAGCCUCACCGUCUUCUGUUGGCCCCUUUUUGCCAUGUGGCAACGGCGGUGCUGUUAGGAAUCGGCUAA